Long non-coding RNA from Vanessa atalanta (red admiral), 886 nucleotides. RefSeq lists it as uncharacterized. The transcript has 3 exons. The record is from RefSeq and is a predicted model, not a curated record. Lineage: Eukaryota; Metazoa; Arthropoda; Insecta; Lepidoptera; Nymphalidae.
GCCCGCUGUAAACACAUAGUCGCCUGCCAUAAAACCUGAAGCGGCGGCCGGCACUGCUAGUACUAGUUCAGACAGCCGCUUGCGGAUAUGGUCGAUGGGUGCAGGAAUGUCUGUCGGAGACGUGAGCGGCGGCGUCAUAUUUUGCUGUUGAAGUUCGAAGGUCAACCUCGCGUCAAGAACUGCGGUGUCGAACAUACCGAGACUUCUCAGUAACGUUUGCGAUUCGUUCUUCAACUGUGGGCAUUUCUUUCGGAACAACUUGAAGACUGCGGGCCACGUGGGUGUCGAACUCAACCUAUUAAAAUUAUAGCUUAAGUUAAUAUUAUAAUGUAAAUAAAUGAGCAUAAUGUAUUGAAGAUAAUGUCACUGGUUACUUAUGGUACCUGAAACAGUUCCUUUAUAGCUUUCGGUGUAAAAAGUUGUGACUGCUGAUCACCGCCUAGUUGUUUCAUAUAAUCACAAAAGUUUUGUGUUAUCUGGGAAAAUUAAAUAUAAUGUUUUAAACUCAUGCAAAACUCAAAACUAAAAAGUUGCACUUAAUUAUUGUAAUUAGGGCAUAAUAGAAUAUGUAUUUAUUUUAGACACAUGAUGGUUGUGUAAAUUAAAUUCAUUGACCAUAAUUAAAGGCCUGAGCUUUGACUCGGUUCGUAUUCUAGAAAGCUACUCUGAGUUUUUCAAGUACUUGGUUUGUAUUUACAAUUCAUUUCGCGAUCUAGGAGGAAGUAUCGUUAGUCGUAGGAAACUUGCUUGUCAGUAAUGGAAUUUCAAGGUUUUAGUGGUUAAGAUGGUUGAGGAUAUGAGUGCUUAUAUCUAUAUAUACUAUUAAUUGUCUGUUUGAAUACUACGUAAAAACACCGAUAUUGAUGAAGAUCUUGAUAUUUAACAA